AUCCAUCUGACUAGUCCCAAAUAGGACGAAACGUGCGCCCUGGAU
Schistosoma rodhaini is the source of this 45-nucleotide non-coding RNA. Lineage: Eukaryota; Metazoa; Platyhelminthes; Trematoda; Strigeidida; Schistosomatidae. The record is from Rfam.